RNAcentral lists this ribosomal RNA (253 nucleotides) under uncultured bacterium. RNAcentral's name for it is "partial 16S ribosomal RNA". It matches the Rfam family "Bacterial small subunit ribosomal RNA", at positions 524 to 776 of the family's 1533-position model. The record is from RNAcentral.
GACGAACCGUGCGAACGUUGUUCGGAAUCACUGGGCUUAAAGGGCACGUAGGCGGGCUGUCAAGUCCGGGGUGAAAUCCUCCAGCUCAACUGGAGAAUGGCCUCGGAUACUGAUGGUCUCGAGGAGGAUAGGGGCACACGGAACUGUGGGUGGAGCGGUGAAAUGCGUUGAUAUCCACAGGAACUCCGGUGGCGAAAGCGGUGUGCUGGAUCCUUUCUGACGCUGAUGCGCGAAAGCCAGGGGAGCAAACGGG